UCAGCGCAGCUUUCUAAAUCAGUUUGUGCGAUUGUGUUUCUUCUGCAUUCUGUUUGUAGUUCUGCAGGGCAGUGCCAGCUGUGAGAUUCAAAACCACGGCGGUGUGGUAACGCUCAGACCGCUGCCGGGCUGCGUCUGCCUGCUCAACGACAGAGAGGUCACUGAGCCCUGCAGACUGGCUCAAGGGACGGUGAUCACCUUGGGAGGAGUGCAUAAGUUCCGCUUCAACCACCCAGCCGAGGCAGCCGUCCUCCGGGAGCGCAGACGGGCAAGUGAAGGUGGCCUUACCUGCACCUACAAUGACCUUUGCCCCAUGACACCUGACCACAGUGUCAAAGAAGUGAAUCUCCAAGGCCAGCUGGGUGCCUGUCUCUCCCCCAGUGAGGAGCCUUCUGCUAGGCAGUGUGUGGAGGAGCAGCAGUGCUACGUGGAGAGUUUGCGACAGGAGAUUCAGGCUGAACAAAGAAGGGCUGAGAGAGAGCUGGAGAGGGAGCAGGCUCACCUCCGACAGCAGCACAGUGAGAUCCAGCAGUGGAUUUUGCAGGAGAAACGGCGCCUAACAACUGUAGAGCAGAGAAUCACCCAAGAAUCCGGACUUCAGGCAGACCUUAUAUCCCGCACUCCUCCUGGAGCGAGAGGCAAGUCCGGCGUCCGACUUUCAGGAAGGUCAGACAGUAGAUCGUCUGUCCCACGUCGUAAGGGCCAGGAAGAAGGCGGUGCAGGAGGAGCUACUAAAGCAUCACGCCCUUUGCCGUUCCGAUAG
This 763-nucleotide long non-coding RNA is filed under the name Cottoperca gobio. Its description in RNAcentral is "lncRNA (ENSCGOG00000023919.1)". The record is from RNAcentral. Lineage: Eukaryota; Metazoa; Chordata; Actinopteri; Perciformes; Bovichtidae.